CCCCUGCAUCAAUUAAAGAAUACCCACCAGAAAUGAAGCUCCUGCAUCAAUUAAAGAUUACCCACCAGAAAAGAAGCUACUGCAUCAAUUAAAGAAUUCCCACCAGAAAUGAAGCUCCUGCACCAAUUAAAGAAUACCCACCAGAAAAGAAGCUCCUGCAUCAAUUAAAGAUUACCCAUUAGAAACGAAGGUCCUGCAUCAAUUACAAGAUUACCCACCAGAAAAGAAGCUCCUGCAUCAAUUACAAGAAUACCCACCAAAAAAGAAGCUCCUGCAUCAAUUACAAUAUUAUCCACCAGAAAAGAAGCUCCUGCAUCAAUUACAAGAAUACCCACCAGAAAAGAAGCUCCUGCAUCAAUUACAAUAUUACCCACCAGAAAUUAAGCUCCUGCAUCAAUUACAAGAAUACCCACCAGAAAAUAAGCUCCUGCAUCAAUUAAAGAUUACCCACCAGAAAAGAAGCUCCUGCAUCAAUUACAAGAAUAACCACCAGAAAAGAAGCUCCUGAAUCAAUUACAAGAAUACCCACCAGAAAAGAAGCUCCUGCAUCAAUUAGAAUACCCACCAGAAAAGAAGCUCCUGCAUCAAUUACAAUAAUACCCACCAGAAAAGAAGCUCCUGAAUCAAUUUCAAGAAUACCCACCAGAAAAGAAGCUCCUGCAUCAAUUACAAGAAUACCCACCAGAAAUGAAGCUCCUGCAUCAAUUACAAGCUCCUGCAUCAAUUACAAGAAUACCCACCAGAAAAGAAGCUCCUGCAUCAAUUACAAGGAUACUCACCAGAAAUGAAGCUCCUGCAUCAAUUUUGCCCAGCUCAAGUCAUACUGGAUGCACCUUUCUGGUUUUCUAUGUCUUAUUUCAUAUUUUUCAUGCACAACCGAUACAGGUUUAUUAUCUCGUCAGGAUCCCAUUUAAACUCGGUAUACGCUUGGAUCAGCUCCCUUUCCUGGUACAAGACCCGAAGACCCAUGGUACCAGGCUCAGGGUUUUUCUAUUUUUCUGGUUUUGACUAAUCCUUGACAAUGGAUUUUGUCCUACUGAUAUCCCUGACCCAGCUAGUCUUGACCCUGAUUUAGUUCUUUCUUUUUUUCUGAUUUUGUGUUUGUCUUUGCCUAGUAUAUCUGUCCUUGGAGUUCGUAGUUUAAGUUCUGCUACUUCCUAUUUCUACACUAAGCGUUAAGCCUGGCCACUCUAAGGUCCGGUAAAACACCUUCACUAUUGCUCUCGUUGUGCUUUUUGUUAGGUGUUGGCUAAUAUCUUGCUGAAGAUCCACUUCAUUCCUGACAAGUGUACUAUCUUCAUUCUUCAACUGUUGCCAUUUGUCCUGGGCACCAUGGAUUCAGGACGCUAUGGAUGUAGUUCAGUGAAAUAAAUGAUAACAUAGAAACAUAGAAUGUGACGGCAGAUAAGAACCAUUCGGCCCAUCUAGUCUGUGGUAGUUUUUCUUCUUUUAAAUAUAGUCUCCUCCUUUACCCUGUUGAUUCCCUUUAUAUAUUUAAAUGUUUCUAUCAUAUCCCCCCUGUCUCGUCUUUCCUCCAAGCUAUACAUGUUAAGAUCCUUUAACCUUUCCUGGUAAGUUUUAUCCCGCAAUCCAUGAACCAGUUUAGUAGCCCUUCUCUGAACCCUCUCUAAGGUAUCAAUAUCCUUCUGAAGAUACGGUCUCCAGUACUGUGUACAAUACUCCAAGUGAGGUCUCACCAGUGUUCUGUACAAUGGCAUGAGCACUUCCCUCUUUCUUCUGCUAAUACCUCUCCCUAUACAACCAAGCAUUCUGCUAGCAUUUCCUGCUGCUCUAUUACAUUGUCUGCCUACCUUUAAGUCAUCAGAAAUAAUCACCCCUAAAUCCCUUUCCUCAUAUGUUGAGGUUAGGACUCUAUCAAAUAUUCUGUACUCUGCCCUUGGGUUUUUACGUCCAAGAUGCAUUAUCUUGCACUUAUCCACAUUAAAUGUCAGUUGCCACAAUUCUGACCAUUUUUCUAGUUUACCUAAAUAUUAAGGAAAGCAAUAUUUAAGAAAUGUGUAACAAAUAAAAAUGUAUACUAGCAUUAAUGUAUCCCAUACAUAGUAAUUGUUAUAGAUCAUGGGUCUCUGUCUGUGAACAAGGUCAUCUAGUUUCCCAGACUAUUUAUAUAGAUAUUGGACUAAAAUAUAUGUUUCCCCACAUAAAAAUAUUCCAUGUCAUUAUCUUGAAUUUUGUCAUUGUGCCAAAAAUAAGUAAUUUUCUUUAUAAGAUGGAUGUGGAAACGAAUACUGAUCAUAAAAUAAAAUCAGAAAUAUCUGUGGAUUAUGGGUUAGUUAAUGCUGAAAUAAUACCCUUUACACACUUUGGGGGCCUCACACUUAAAAUCGAACACAACUUUAUGAUGUAGGAAAAUAAGAAACUGGUGAAUGUAUUGCUCACUAAAUUGCUUACAGAGCUGUUUAAUUGGGGAUCUGUCAAUGGUCGUUGCAUUCAAUUUAAAAGGCUUUAAGGUGUUUUAGCUGGAAGUCCCCUUCAAGUUAAAGCAUGUUUAACUUGGAAAAUAUUGAGCUGAUAAUUCUUUUCUAGACCCCUGUCUGGUGCAGUAGUUAAUCCUACCGAGAAACAACUCUACAUAAGGCCACUAGGGGCAACCUUAGCACGACCCAUCCAUGUUGUUGGCAGCAUUCCCCAUCUUACUGCAUCGUUUCAUUGAUGAAGGUAUGCUUGGUGAAAGUAUGAUUCAUCUCCUGUAACUGUCAAAUAUUCUACCAACCUACUUGUGGCGAAACUAACCUCGCCACUGGGCCCUGGAGAAGCCUGGUUGCUCGUCUGCUGCCUCAAGACUAUGGCCCCCAUGUAAAACCCUUAUUCCUCCCUGCAGAAAAGCUUGUUCGUGCCUUUUCGCCUGGGCGUUCGGUAAAUUGAAUUUACCGAACAAACAUACAAAUGACCGGACCACCUGUGUAGGGAGUGUGCCAGCAAUUUACCUCCUAGAAGCUGCGGUUAACCGCAACUUAAUUUACGAACGCUGGGUGGCCGUCGUUCGUAUAGCCGAACACGUGGCGGCGGCCAUCUUAAACUGUCAAAUGCACAGCGGUGUUCAUCGAUGAUUCCAUGGAACUGGAAACGGACACUUUUCUUCACGAAUACCGCUGAAACCGCCGAUCUCCCUUCUCCUGCCUCAUUCAUUCAUACAAGCGCCGGGCCGUUCGGGAGAUUAAAACGACGAACGGAGCUACCUCAGAUAGCUAUCCCAUGGAGCCCAUUCGUAUAACAAAAGACUAAAUGAAAGACUUUAGCUCCAUGGCGAUUGAACUGUAUGUAUGUGAUCUGAGCGUCAUUCGGUAAUAAUGUGCACUCAGAUCUAAGCUAUCUGGGGAUACGUUAAAUGUGUGUAUUGUAUUCGGUAGUUUAGAAGUUAUAUAUUUUUAUGUAUUUUUAUUGCCAUGUGUAAAAUGGAGUUUUGCCUCUAUCCUCGGAGAUAAUUGAGUUACUUCCCAACUAUCUCCAGGAUAGAGAGGAGGGGUUACAAUGUGCCUGUGGGAGUGUUUUAUCUCUGUAAUGCUCUGAUUGGUUACUGUUGUAUUUUGUCCCAGUUUUCCACCAGGUCCCCUAGGGGAGUGUCCACCUGGUGGGAGACCUUCAUAAAUACUGGGCAGGUAGCCCACAUUAAACCAGAUUCCUGCUUGACCCUCAAUACAGAGCCUCGUCUCGUACUUGGGGGGAUUUAUUCGUGUGCUUAUCCUGUUCGGCUGUUUGGAGUGUAAACCUUUCGGAUGGUUUUUCCUAUUCGUCAGUUUGGAGUGUAAACCUUUUGUAUGGUUUUUCCUGUUCGACGGAUUGGUGUAUUGGGUAGCUGCCUUUGUAUCUAAAAGGGAAUAUCUCCUAAACGGCUUUAACCCCCUUUUAUGGCCGGGGUGCCGUUACACUACUUUUCUACCCUUACCUUUUCCGUCACUUUACCCCACUCCCUCGAGCAUGUAAACUCAUUGAGCAGGGCCCUCAAUCCCUCUGUUCCUGCUCGUCCAACUUGUCUUGUUACAAUUACGUGUUUGUUAGUCCACACAUUGUACAGUGCUGCGGAAUUUGUUGGCGUUAUAUAAAUAAUAAUAAUAAUAAAAAUAAGUGUGGCAGUGUGGAUGGUGGCUUUACAACCAUUGGCUGCUUAGGCAUUUCUCAAGGUAUUAUCCUGUAUUCUACUGUAAGACACAUUAUCAUGACAAUAAUUUAAAUCGUAUUGAGUUUUAUUGGUUGUCAAAUUAUGUUUUCAGUAAAAAAACUAUACUGUGCUGUAGAAGUCAUUUUUUUUUUCUUAUUGUUUUUGGACAUUUGUAAGUUUAAGAAAACUUGCAUUUAUGAAAGUGGACAAUAUGUAAGCCAUCACAAAAAAUAGAGCUGGUUUUUGUUGUAGCUCUUUAGUGGCCCUUAACCCUUGUUUAUUUAAACAUCUCAUAAAAAGUCACUGCUGGUCACAUUUCAUAUGGGUCCAACAGGGACAUUAGUACAUGGAGGGAUAUUCCGGGGGGUGAACAAUAACCAGAUUCGUUCCUAACAUCUGGAUUCACAGAAUUCAGACUGAUCAGGAGCUUUAUCAACACCUGCUAUGGUACGACAUAAAGUAAGCAUAAAAAAACUGUUAACUCAAGUGUCUGUGAGGCAGUGACUGAAUAUGAACGUUUCAGACCAUGGAGAAGAGAGCAAAUAUCUCUGUGGAUUAUUUAUCCUGAGUAAAAAUCUAAAGAUGCCAGCAUUGUCGUAGAGUUGUGUGCAUUCCUAAAAUCUGUCUUAUCAAACAUCAACUCUCAUCAGACUUCUCCCCCUUUUCAUUUACCCACUACAGCCACUGGUGAUGAUAUCUCCACCAAGCCUCUCAUAUCUAUCAGAACAAUGAACAGCUAUGGUUUAGUUGCAUUUGCUGUUUAUAGAGAGUUCAAACAUAUUUCUAAAUUAGUUUUCAAAAUGUUUAUGGGAAGAAUAUAGUGUUAUUUAUGUACAUGGAGCAUAUGGAGCAAUGCCAAAUAUAUUUGGGAAAGCAUGAAAUAGACUCUAGGGAGAGAUGGUUGAGCAUAAAUAAAACCUCUCCAAGGAAUUAAGAUUAUAUUUUCACAUAGAAAAUCCAGUCAACUUUGAUUUAAAUGUUGGUUUGAUCCUAUGAUGUGUGCCUUCCACGAGCUCUGAUGGUUCAUGCUCCGGCUCAUUCCAAUGCAAACUUGUAGAUUUAAUUCUAUAAUCUAAAAGAGAUGUGAAUUUCCAAAACAAUUUAAUGUAUCACUUGCUCAUUCAUUAAACAGUCUGGAUCCUUGGCCAGCGCUGGCCUUUCCUGGUUCUCAUCUUAUCUCUCCCAACACACAUUUAACAUCACAUUUCUUAGCGCCACCUCAUCCCCACUAUCCAUCUCAGCUGAAGGCCCUCAAAGCUCUGUUCUUGACCCUCUGCUCUGUUUUUUUUCUAUUUAUACUGCCCCAUAUGGUAAACUUAUUAGCUCUUUUGGAUUUCAUUACCAUAUGUAUGCUGACAACACUCAUAUUUUUUGUUUGGAUGUGGAAACAUGUAUUGGGGUGGUAGAGGUGUACUGCUGAAUAUGGAGAGAUACAUUGGGAAUGGGGAGAUGUAUUGUUGGCUGUGGAGACCUGUAUUAUGAAUGGGUAGAUGUACUGUUGGACCUAAAGACAUUGUGCCUGUUUGGUUUCGGAGAUAUUAAGCAUUAUAUUUUAUCAAACCCCUCCCACUAUAUAAUCCGUGUUAUUAAAAGCAAAUAUUUUAAAAGCAGCUAUACUAUUUGUUUGUGCUAUAUUUGUGAUGAUUGUCUGUGACAGCAUUAUUUUGAAAAUAUGGCUCAUUAAAUAUGAUCAGCCUCUGCCUGUCUUGCACCCC
Molecule: non-coding RNA, 5835 nt
Organism: Pelobates cultripes (western spadefoot toad)
Lineage: Eukaryota; Metazoa; Chordata; Amphibia; Anura; Pelobatidae
Source: the annotation of a GenBank genome assembly